CUUCCCGUGGUGGGGGGUGUCCGUUGCUGACCUUUGAUGCCUCUGUGUGUGUUUUCGGUCUCACUUGGGUAAAUUUAGGAGUCUGCAAAGAGCCAUUAUGGUUAAUCACAGUGGUCCGUCCUCCAGGCUUCACUUUCUCCUUGUGGUGUUGAUCGCCAAUGAUAGUUCCGUUCUCCUCUGCUUGCACAGGCCACACUGCAUGCCCACACUGCAGCAGGGGUCGGCACAGCGGGCUGUUCCUCGCGCUGAGCACAGCACCUCUAUCUCAGGCUUGUGACUUCCAGGGACAACGGGACUUUAUAAAUCCUGGGAUUUCCUAGGUUGUUGGGGUCAUUAGCUUGCAUUCCUCUAGUAGCAGAUACAUCACUUUCUUUGUCCUUCUGGGCUGCUUUAGCAAAGUACCACCGAUCUGGUGGCCUAUAAACAAUGGAAAUUUAUUUCUCACAGAUACGCAGGGUUUAAUUAAAGAUCAGGGUGCCACCAUGGGUGAGUGAGGGCACACUUCCUGAAAGGAAAUGAGAGAACAAAGAAAGACUUGACCAGAGUGACUCCAUCUCAAGAGGCUAAAACUAACUUACCCCAAGUCAGUGUCACAAGUCAGUUACUAAGAAAAACCACACUUACCGAAAAACCCUCUUGAAAGGCAUUACACAAACAGAAAA
This is a long non-coding RNA of Manis pentadactyla (Chinese pangolin), 662 nucleotides long. RefSeq lists it as uncharacterized. NCBI's taxonomy places the organism in Eukaryota, Metazoa, Chordata, Mammalia, Pholidota, Manidae. The transcript is spliced from 3 exons. The record is from RefSeq and is a predicted model, not a curated record.